Molecule: ribosomal RNA, 120 nt
Rfam family: Bacterial large subunit ribosomal RNA
GUCUCCCACAGGGUAGCCUGGUAAGGCCCCCGACUAGAUGAUCGGGUUGAUAGGCCGGAGGUGGAAGUGCGGCAACGCAUGGAGCUGACCGGUACUAAUAGGCCGAGGGCUUGACCACAA